This 460-nucleotide ribosomal RNA is filed under the name uncultured bacterium. RNAcentral's name for it is "partial 16S ribosomal RNA". It matches the Rfam family "Bacterial small subunit ribosomal RNA", at positions 338 to 795 of the family's 1533-position model. The record is from RNAcentral.
CCUACGGGUGGCAGCAGUGAGGAAUAUUGGUCAAUGGGCGCGAGCCUGAACCAGCCAAGUAGCGUGAAGGAUGACUGCCCUACGUGUUGUAAACUUCUUUUAUAGAGGAAUACAUUGAGGCACGUGUGCCUUUUUGUAUGUACUUUAUGAAUAAGGAUGCGCUAACUCUGUGCCAGCAGCCGCGGGAAUACGGAGGAGUCGAGCGUUAUCCGGAUUUAUGGGGUGUAAAGGGAGUGUAGAUGGGUUGUAAAGUCAGUUGUGAAAGUUUGCGGCUCAACCGUAAAAUUGCAAUUGAUACUGGCAGUCUUGAAUACAGUUGAGGUAGGCGGAAUUCGUGGUGUAGCGGUGAAAUGCUUAGAUAUCACGAAGAACAUCGAUUGCGAAGGCAGCUGACUAAACUGCCACUGACAUUGAGGCUCGAAAGUGAGGGUAUCAAACAGGAUUAGAUACCCCUGUAGUC